CCAGACUCCUACGGGAGGCAGCAGUGGGGAAUAUUGCACAAUGGGGGGAACCCUGAUGCAGCGACGCCGCGUGGGUGAAGGAGCACCUCGGUGCGUAAAGCCCUAUCGGCAGGGAAGAAAAGCGAACAGGUUCGCCUGGACGGUACCUGACUAAGAAGCCCCGGCUAACUACGUGCCAGCAGCCGCGGUAAUACGUAGGGGGCAAGCGUUAUCCGGAUUUACUGGGUGUAAAGGGAGCGCAGGUGGCAAGGCAAGCCAGAAGUGAAAACCCGGGGCUUAACCCCGCGGAUUGCUUUUGGAACUGUCUGGCUGGAGUGCAGGAGGGGCAGGCGGAAUUCCUGGUGUAGCGGUGAAAUGCGUAGAUAUCAGGAGGAACACCGGUGGCGAAGGCGGCCUGCUGGACUGUAACUGACACUGAGGCUCGAAAGCGUGGGGAGCAAACAGGAUUAGAUACCCGUGUA
RNAcentral lists this ribosomal RNA (461 nucleotides) under uncultured bacterium. RNAcentral describes it as "bacterial SSU rRNA". It matches the Rfam family "Bacterial small subunit ribosomal RNA", at positions 331 to 792 of the family's 1533-position model. The record is from RNAcentral.